UGAAAUGUCCAAACAAAUAUGACCCUUUUGAUUGGAACCCUGUCCCUGUUUGUUUUUAUUACACAUGUAACAUAGUUAGUGAGUUAGUAUACCAAAGAUAUUGGGGCUUAAGAAGAACAUAAAGGGUUCGAGUGGUAACAAUGGUCAAGAUGGACAAAUCUGUUUAAUCCGCUCUAUGUUUAGGGUGGACAGAAAAUUUGUCUACCAACACUAUUUAUAUGUAAAAGAGGUUCGUAGUUGGUCCGCAUCAGUUUUCUUUCUAUUUUUUGGACCGCACUAUUGCAGACUACAUUUGAUGAAUGGUAAAU
This 308-nucleotide long non-coding RNA is filed under the name Capsella grandiflora. RNAcentral describes it as "long non-coding RNA (CGRA_LNC000869)". The record is from RNAcentral. Lineage: Eukaryota; Viridiplantae; Streptophyta; Magnoliopsida; Brassicales; Brassicaceae.